RNAcentral lists this long non-coding RNA (1034 nucleotides) under Homo sapiens (human). RNAcentral's name for it is "HSALNT0005721". Lineage: Eukaryota; Metazoa; Chordata; Mammalia; Primates; Hominidae. The record is from RNAcentral.
GUAUUUUUCCUCUGUUCAAGGUCACAUUUCCUGAUUAAUGAAGUAUUUCAGUCUUAGAAUUUCUGUCAAAUCUUCUCAAUUAAAUUUAUUGUACUUCUAUUAUCAGACAGACACAGGGGCUACCCUUCCCUACUCCAUGAAACACCAUGAAUUGUAUUUUAAGUCAAAUAUUUAUGUGAAACACAGUACCUGCUUCUACCUUAGUCAUCAAUGCUAAUUUUUCAAAUUGCACCUGGACUAUCCUACAGAUCAUUUAGGGAAUUUUUUUGCACUAUGCUACUUGUGCACUCCAAACCCAAAACGUAGGACAGCAAGAGAAGUAUUGAAAGUUUUUCAAAGAUUCUCAAGGAUUCAAAGAUUAAGCAGGGCAGUGGUGUAACACUGCUUUGCUAAGUGAGAAAAACAAUAAUUGCAACCAUUUAGUGAGUGUGAAUCAAAUGCUAGGCACCAGACUGAUGCUUUCUUUUUGCUAUUUCAUUUGAUCCUCACAAUAAAUGGCAUUACUUUGCAGAGAGAUUAUCCUCAUUUUAUGCAUGUGGACACUGAGAUUAAGUCAAAUGCCUAAGUUUAUAAAGCUAAUAGGUGGCACAGCUGGCUAAGUUGACUUCUAGCCCAUACUCUACCACACUGUAAUGCAUCCCUCAGGACAGAGAUCACCAAGUGGCCCCUGCCUGGUCCCAGGUGGAAGGACAUAUUAAGUUAAACUGAAAAGCAGUCCUAAAAUACUUGAAAUGUAAACUAUUACCCAAACAUGAGGUGAAUCUACAAUAAGAAGCAAAAAGUAAAUGCAGUGAAAAGCUCACCAUUCUACAAUCUAUCUUCAGGGAGGUAUCCUUCUUUCCUACUACUAUAUUUGAUAAAUUUCAAACAAAACAAAACAUCCUUUCCAUUGUGUCAGCUUUUGGACACACACUUUAUUGCACUUGAUUUUUUUAUACAUCCAUUUCCUAAACAAGAUAUGUUUAUUCAUCUUUUUAAUCCUCAUGGCUCAGCACAGGGCCUGACAUACACCACUGCCUUUUCCCUUUCUUUCA